GCCACGUCUAAUGCUCAGAAGGUCAGCUGGACCCUGCGUGUCAUCGUUCUGCUUUACCACGCAUGCACUGAGAAGCUCAAGCUUUCCCAAGACUACUGGCUUGUGCCUCAGGAGACACUGUGACAUGACCUCUUUAAAAGAACUCUACUGUGGAAGCCUUUCUGCAUAGAAGAGGAUGGAAUGCCAGACGGGAGGUCAGAAUACAAAGAGGGUGGGAAUCUGAUGAUAAAAUUUUGGGAGCUUUUA
This 246-nucleotide long non-coding RNA is filed under the name Rattus norvegicus (Norway rat). RNAcentral's name for it is "long non-coding RNA NONRATT009276". Lineage: Eukaryota; Metazoa; Chordata; Mammalia; Rodentia; Muridae. The record is from RNAcentral.